This 688-nucleotide ribosomal RNA is filed under the name uncultured bacterium. Its description in RNAcentral is "bacterial SSU rRNA". It matches the Rfam family "Bacterial small subunit ribosomal RNA", at positions 98 to 799 of the family's 1533-position model. The record is from RNAcentral.
GCGGACGGGUGAGUAACGUGUGGGCAACCUGCCCUGCACUGGGGAAUAAUCAUUGGAAACGAUGACUAAUACCGCAUACGGUUCCUGGGAGGCAUCUUCCGGGAAAGAAAGGAUUUAUUCGGUGCAGGAUGGGCCCGCAUCUGAUUAGCUAGUUGGUGAGAUAACAGCCCACCAAGGCGACGAUCAGUAGCCGACCUGAGAGGGUGACCGGCCACAUUGGGACUGAGACACGGCCCAAACUCCUACGGGAGGCAGCAGUGGGGAAUAUUGCACAAUGGGCGAAAGCCUGAUGCAGCAACGCCGCGUGAAGGAAGAAGGGUUUCGGCUCGUAAACUUCUAUCAACAGGGACGAAAGAAAUGACGGUACCUGAAUAAGAAGCCCCGGCUAACUACGUGCCAGCAGCCGCGGUAAUACGUAGGGGGCAAGCGUUAUCCGGAAUUACUGGGUGUAAAGGGUGAGUAGGCGGCAUGGUAAGCCAGAUGUGAAAGCCUUGGGCUUAACCCGAGGAUUGCAUUUGGAACUAUCAAGCUAGAGUACAGGAGAGGAAAGCGGAAUUCCUAGUGUAGCGGUGAAAUGCGUAGAUAUUAGGAAGAACACCAGUGGCGAAGGCGGCUUUCUGGACUGAAACUGACGCUGAGGCACGAAAGCGUGGGGAGCGAACAUGAUUAGAUACCCUGGUAGUCCACG